UUGAAGAGUUUGAUCAUGGCUCAGAUUGAACGCUGGCGGCAGGCCUAACACAUGCAAGUCGAACGGUAACAGGAAGCAGCUUGCUGCUUCGCUGACGAGUGGCGGACGGGUGAGUAAUGUCUGGGAAACUGCCUGAUGGAGGGGGAUAACUACUGGAAACGGUGGCUAAUACCGCAUAACGUCGCAAGACCAAAGAGGGGGACCUUCGGGCCUCUUGCCAUCAGAUGUGCCCAGAUGGGAUUAGCUUGUUGGUGAGGUAACGGCUCACCAAGGCGACGAUCCCUAGCUGGUCUGAGAGGAUGACCAGCCACACUGGAACUGAGACACGGUCCAGACUCCUACGGGAGGCAGCAGUGGGGAAUAUUGCACAAUGGGCGCAAGCCUGAUGCAGCCAUGCCGCGUGUAUGAAGAAGGCCUUCGGGUUGUAAAGUACUUUCAGCGGGGAGGAAGGUGUUGUGGUUAAUAACCGCAGCAAUUGACGUUACCCGCAGAAGAAGCACCGGCUAACUCCGUGCCAGCAGCCGCGGUAAUACGGAGGGUGCAAGCGUUAAUCGGAAUUACUGGGCGUAAAGCGCACGCAGGCGGUCUGUCAAGUCGGAUGUGAAAUCCCCGGGCUCAACCUGGGAACUGCAUUCGAAACUGGCAGGCUUGAGUCUUGUAGAGGGGGGUAGAAUUCCAGGUGUAGCGGUGAAAUGCGUAGAGAUCUGGAGGAAUACCGGUGGCGAAGGCGGCCCCCUGGACAAAGACUGACGCUCAGGUGCGAAAGCGUGGGGAGCAAACAGGAUUAGAUACCCUGGUAGUCCACGCCGUAAACGAUGUCUACUUGGAGGUUGUGCCCUUGAGGCGUGGCUUCCGGAGCUAACGCGUUAAGUAGACCGCCUGGGGAGUACGGCCGCAAGGUUAAAACUCAAAUGAAUUGACGGGGGCCCGCACAAGCGGUGGAGCAUGUGGUUUAAUUCGAUGCAACGCGAAGAACCUUACCUGGUCUUGACAUCCACAGAAGUUUCCAGAGAUGGAUUGGUGCCUUCGGGAACUGUGAGACAGGUGCUGCAUGGCUGUCGUCAGCUCGUGUUGUGAAAUGUUGGGUUAAGUCCCGCAACGAGCGCAACCCUUAUCCUUUGUUGCCAGCGGUUAGGCCGGGAACUCAAAGGAGACUGCCAGUGAUAAACUGGAGGAAGGUGGGGAUGACGUCAAGUCAUCAUGGCCCUUACGACCAGGGCUACACACGUGCUACAAUGGCGCAUACAAAGAGAAGCGACCUCGCGAGAGCAAGCGGACCUCAUAAAGUGCGUCGUAGUCCGGAUUGGAGUCUGCAACUCGACUCCAUGAAGUCGGAAUCGCUAGUAAUCGUGGAUCAGAAUGCCACGGUGAAUACGUUCCCGGGCCUUGUACACACCGCCCGUCACACCAUGGGAGUGGGUUGCAAAAGAAGUAGGUAGCUUAACCUUCGGGAGGGCGCUUACCACUUUGUGAUUCAUGACUGGGGUGAAGUCGUAACAAGGUAACCGUAGGGGAACCUGCGGUUGGAUCACCUCCUUA
RNAcentral lists this ribosomal RNA (1539 nucleotides) under Salmonella enterica subsp. enterica serovar Enteritidis. RNAcentral's name for it is "16S ribosomal RNA". It matches the Rfam family "Bacterial small subunit ribosomal RNA". Lineage: Bacteria; Pseudomonadati; Pseudomonadota; Gammaproteobacteria; Enterobacterales; Enterobacteriaceae. The record is from RNAcentral.